Molecule: unclassified non-coding RNA, 253 nt
Filed under: Hevea brasiliensis (rubber tree)
Lineage: Eukaryota; Viridiplantae; Streptophyta; Magnoliopsida; Malpighiales; Euphorbiaceae
Source: RNAcentral
UUCAGUUUCUAUUUAGGGGUUUCUCUCGUCUGCUGGCAUCAAAGGCAGUGAUGGUCUCAUACGAUGGCUAUCUUCAUCUCCACAGGGUUAAAUGAGAAUGAGAUGCCCGUCAACAAAGCCUUCACUGGUUCAGUCUGGCACUGGUUCUUAGCCCUAGGUUGUCUUGAGCUUUGCUAUAUAGUUGGCCGNNNNUGAGAAGCAAGGUUCUCUAGCCGGAUCCACAGGGGUGCAUGUCUUUCCAUUGUUUGUACCG